GUGCGGCUGGAACACCUCCUUUCUAGAGAAAGACGACUGAAUUUGAGGAAUUCAAAAAAAGUGUGUUUUACUUAAGCUGUCCAUUUCAUUUUUAUAUACUAUCAUGUUAGAGUCUCGUAGCUCAGCUGGUUAGAGCGCUACACUGAUAAUGUAGAGGUCGGCAGUUCGAGUCUGCCCGAGACUACUAAUUAAGUGAGAGUUUAUCUUACUUUAAAAUGAUAGAAUAAAAUAAUUGAGAAUUUAGGGUUGAGAAAUUUAUAAACCUUUUCCGUUCUAUUUUUUCAGAAUGGGGGAUUAGCUCAGCUGGCUAGAGCGCCUGCCUUGCACGCAGGAGGUCAUCGGUUCGACUCCGAUAUUCUCCACGAUGGUUAUAAUUAACCAAACGUUCAUUGACAUAUUGAAAUAUUUAAGAUACAUAAAAUAAAAGGUAUAAAUUAUUAGUCGAGCCGAUUAAUAAUUUGUACGAGCAAAGUAAAGAAUACAAUUUUAAGAGAAAGUAA
Molecule: transfer RNA, 500 nt
Filed under: uncultured Bacteroidetes bacterium 'SBI2-18 P41A3'
Lineage: Bacteria; Pseudomonadati; Bacteroidota
Rfam family: tRNA (bases 111-184)
Source: RNAcentral